Molecule: long non-coding RNA, 1445 nt
Organism: Vespula vulgaris
Lineage: Eukaryota; Metazoa; Arthropoda; Insecta; Hymenoptera; Vespidae
Exons: 3
Source: RefSeq, a predicted model, not a curated record
CGCCAUCUAUGAGUCAAUGGAAAAUCUUUCCAAUCAACUACUUGUACGCUAAUGGCGUAAUGUAUAAUUGGAAUUGAAUUAUUUCUGGAUUUACAAAGAAAAACAGCAAGACUUGCCGCAGCCAAAAGUAUAUCAACCGCUUUUAUAGCUUCGCAAAAGAAAGAAUCAUCAUCCUGGACAAUCAAGAACCAAUGGAUCAGAUUUUCUUUCACCAAAACAUUUUUGUAUGCAUUGAAAAAGAAGUCAAAGUUACUUCUAUGAAAGAAUUACGAAACUUCUUAAUUUCUGUUAUCGUAUUUUGUUGGAGAUAGUUCUUGAUCGAUAAAAAAAGAGGCUAUACGCGAAGCGUGUGACGUACAGUAUGAAGAAAAGAAUUGUGAAGCUGUGACAGAUGAAUGUCCAAAAAAUAAUCUUUUAUAGGACCAAAUCUUUCUGUAAUAAUUGGAGCAUUUAAACCCGCAAAAAUUGUCGAAGAAAGGUUGCUCAUUACUGUCUACACAAUAUAAUAAACCUCAAGCAAUACCCAAGGAAAGACUACUAUAUACUUUGUGUCUGUGUGCGUGGGUGUGUAUAUUAUGUAUCUAGUUAUGUACAUAUGUAUCUAUUUACAAACGUAUGUUUAUAUGGGAUCUUCCAACAUUCCACCUUGGUGGUUGCCGAAAGACUGAUCUCAUACGAUAUUCGACAGAAAGUAAAUAACAUAAGGUGUAUUUAGAUAUUUCACCUUAUAUAGAAACAUAUAAACAUUGUAAUAAUUUUUGCUUUGUAUAUGUCAGCUAGUAAAUGGUAUAAACAUUCUCUUUUUCUUUCAGUGUAAUAAUAUUAUAUAUAUAUAUAUAUAUAUAUAUAUAUAUUAAAAUUUUUAUAAUUUAAUUAGUUAAUUAAUCAAAAUCAAAAAAUAAAAGAAAGCAACAGGAAUAGAAAAAUACGAGACCUCAUCGAAAACUCCGUUUGUUAGAAAACAAUGUACUUUCAUCUCUCUCUCUCUCUCUCUCUCUCUCUCUCUUCCUCGCUCUGUUUUGCUAUUUUUUUCUUAAUUUUUCUGUAUGCACGUGUACGCGUAUGUACGUAAUACGUAUAUGCCUUUUAACAAAUGUAAUAUCGUUUGGUAUCGAUAUAUUUUAUAUAUAGAAAGAUCGUCGACGAUCGAACGUGAUGCGUGUACCUGAUCGUGACACCCUUAUUUCAAUAUUGUAAAUUUAAUUUGUCAACGAGGUAUAAAUUCUAUAUUCAUUUAAAUACACAUACCUUGAUAUGUGUAUGAAUAAUGCAUAUUAAUCAUAAUACGCAUUAAAUGACACGUUUAAAUGAAAUCCCACAUUAAAAUUUACAUUGUACUAGAUACAUAUACUACAUAAGAACAAGAAAGCAAAAUUGAAUAUACCAAGAUACUUUAUUCUUCUUCUUCUUCUUCUUCUGCAUAUUAUUGUUGUUGUUAUUAUUGU